RNAcentral lists this signal recognition particle RNA (266 nucleotides) under Actinobacteria bacterium RBG_19FT_COMBO_54_7. Its description in RNAcentral is "signal recognition particle sRNA large type". It matches the Rfam family "Bacterial large signal recognition particle RNA". Rfam says of the family: The signal recognition particle (SRP) is a universally conserved ribonucleoprotein involved in the co-translational targeting of proteins to membranes. Archaeal SRP consists of a 7S RNA and homologues of the eukaryotic SRP19 and SRP54 proteins. The record is from RNAcentral. Lineage: Bacteria; Bacillati; Actinomycetota.
UCGUGCUAAGCGGGGAGCUAGCGGUGCCCUGUACCCGCAAUCCGCUACAGCGGGGCCGAAUUCCCGACUGAGGCUCUCCGGUUUUGAGUAUUGCGCACGGGCAAGUGGUGUUGAAGGUCGGGUCCUGCGCAACGGGAACUUGUGAACCCCGUCAGGUCCGGAAGGAAGCAGCGGUAAGCAAACCUUCUCGUGUGCCGCAGAUCAACCUGUCCGGAGCUAACUACACGUGUAGCGCUUGGGGUCGGGAGGCGAGGAAGGGGGCAGGA